This 1123-nucleotide long non-coding RNA is filed under the name Coturnix japonica (Japanese quail). RNAcentral describes it as "lncRNA (ENSCJPG00005013046.1)". The record is from RNAcentral. Lineage: Eukaryota; Metazoa; Chordata; Aves; Galliformes; Phasianidae.
AUGGAGAGACAGAUUAACCAGCAGUAUAGGCUGCAUCAAGGGCAGCCUGCCUCCUUUACCUCAUGCAGAGCUUCUUGGAAGCAUGGGAAAUCAGGGAAGAAAGAGGGGGAAAGAGCAUCUUUAAAUGGUAAUGGACACAGAGUGGUGAAAACAGAGGAUGAGAUUUGUGAGGAUGAGCUCUAGUGCUAACACCACCAAGAGGCUUUCUUAGAAUGUGAAGCUAAGUCACAAUACUGUUUAUUGGAGAAUUAAUCAGGAGGAAAAUUGCUUGUGAUUCAAUCAGAUUUAUUUAAAUGCUAGAAAAUUCCCUGUUAUUAUCCAUUUAACAGAUAACAAUUCAUAAUAUUUGAUAUGAGCUUUUCCAUACAGCUUUAUUCUUUAGAAAAGUGUUCUUUUAAUCUAGCAGUUAGCCUAGACAACCUAAGCUUAAGCAGAGGACUGAAAUAUGACUGUGACUGUUCAGCCAGUAAUCUUACUUUUGUCACAUAGUUAUCAGCUGUGCUCUGUUUCUGUUGCAUAACUCACUCUUUGGACAGCACCUUGAUACCUCAAUUUUGUCCUACCAGAUUAGUACUGAGCAAUUCUAGAUUUGCACUUGUAUAUAUCAUGUGAGAUGUGCACUUGAUAAAGACUUGAUAAAGUUUGGGAUUGAGCAGAUGUUCCCCCUGAAAAAUCCUGGGCUCUUGUUUCUCUGAACAGUAGAGGAAGGUCAAAGAAUAAGCAUUUCAACCUGUGCGAUCAUCAGAUUUUGUAAGAUGAUCUGACAGACGCUGUCAUGUUCAGGACUCCCAUCUCUGCUAGCUGGAACUUGUUCUGAGCCAUUCAGCGUGUGCUGCUGGAAGUGGGAAUCAAAUCCCAAGGUAUGCUUCUUAAAGGAAGAAGAGGAGAUAGAAAUCUCUUACAAGAACAUGGAUGUUCUUGUGCAAAAGUAGAAGCAUUUUGUAACAGUUUCUUGUGGCUAUAAUUUACUGAUUUGUACUUCUGGAAUCCUUAAAAUGAUCUUAUUCUGGAUAAAUCCUGUGCUCUCUGGACUCUAUCUCAUGUUUAAAAGAACAAAAUAAGCAUCUCUGCUGCUACUAUACUGAAUAAUGCAGUAAUAAAUAAAGAUAGCAAUAGAGCCUCA